GGCCUCGUGGUGUAGUGGUAACAUGUUCUCUACUAAUAUUUCGGAGAAAUAUUGCGCUGAGGAAGUCCCUUGUUCGAAUCAGAGGUCAUGCCC
This is a non-coding RNA of Mycena leptocephala, 93 nucleotides long. The record is from the annotation of a GenBank genome assembly. Lineage: Eukaryota; Fungi; Basidiomycota; Agaricomycetes; Agaricales; Mycenaceae.